RNAcentral lists this transfer RNA (74 nucleotides) under Enterococcus faecium. RNAcentral describes it as "tRNA-Ile". It matches the Rfam family "tRNA". From Rfam's summary of the family: Transfer RNA (tRNA) molecules are approximately 80 nucleotides in length. Their secondary structure includes four short double-helical elements and three loops (D, anti-codon, and T loops). Lineage: Bacteria; Bacillati; Bacillota; Bacilli; Lactobacillales; Enterococcaceae. RNAcentral also lists the same sequence under 1 other name. The record is from RNAcentral.
GUAUUCUUAGCUCAGUUGGUUAGAGCAGACGGCUCAUAACCGUCCGGUCGUAGGUUCGAGUCCUACAGGGUACA